RNAcentral lists this ribosomal RNA (497 nucleotides) under uncultured bacterium. RNAcentral's name for it is "partial 16S ribosomal RNA". It matches the Rfam family "Bacterial small subunit ribosomal RNA", at positions 28 to 507 of the family's 1533-position model. The record is from RNAcentral.
GAUGAACGCUGGCGGCGUGCCUAAUACAUGCAAGUCGAGCGAACGGACGAGAAGCUUGCUUCUCUGAUGUUAGCGGCGGACGGGUGAGUAACACGUGGAUAACCUACCUAUAAGACUGGGAUAACUUCGGGAAACCGGAGCUAAUACCGGCUGAUAUUUUGAACCGCAUGGUUCAAAAGUGAAAGACGGUCUUGCUGUCACUUAUAGAUGGAUCCGCGCUGCAUUAGCUAGUUGGUAAGGUAACGGCUUACCAAGGCAACGAUGCAUAGCCGACCUGAGAGGGUGAUCGGCCACACCGGAACUGAGACACGGUCCAGACUCCUACGGGAGGCAGCAGUAGGGAAUCUUCCGCAAUGGGCGAAAGCCUGACGGAGCAACGCCGCGUGAGUGAUGAAGGUCUUCGGAUCGUAAAACUCUGUUAUUAGGGAAGAACAUAUGUGUAAGUAACUGUGCACAUCUUGACGGUACCUAAUCAGAAAGCCACGGCUAACUACGUG